This 587-nucleotide ribosomal RNA is filed under the name uncultured bacterium. RNAcentral describes it as "bacterial SSU rRNA". It matches the Rfam family "Bacterial small subunit ribosomal RNA", at positions 338 to 916 of the family's 1533-position model. The record is from RNAcentral.
CCUACGGGAGGCAGCAGUGGGGAAUAUUGGACAAUGGGCGCAAGCCUGAUCCAGCAAUGCCGCGUGUGUGAAGAAGGCCUUCGGGUUGUAAAGCACUUUUAUCAGGAACGAAAAGCGACGGACUAAUACUCUGUCGUGCUGACGGUACCUGAGGAAUAAGCACCGGCUAACUUCGUGCCAGCAGCCGCGGUAAUACGAAGGGUGCAAGCGUUAAUCGGAAUUACUGGGCGUAAAGCGUGCGUAGAUGGUGCGUUAAGUCGGAUGUGAAAGCCCCGGGCUCAACCUGGGAACUGCAUCCGAUACUGGCGGACUAGAGUGUGAUAGAGGAUGGCGGAAUUCCCGGUGUAGCGGUGAAAUGCGUAGAGAUCGGGAGGAACAUCCGUGGCGAAGGCGGCCAUCUGGAUCAACACUGACGUCGAGGCACGAAAGCGUGGGGAGCAAACAGGAUUAGAUACCCUGGUAGUCCACGCCCUAAACGAUGUCGACUGGAUGUUGGGUGCAACUUGGCACUCAGUAUCGAAGCUAACGCGUUAAGUCGACCGCCUGGGGAGUACGCGCGCAAGCGUGAAACUCAAAUGAAUUGACGG